UUCCAGAUAGUUAAUGAGAAGUAGUAAGUAGAGUGCAAGUUACAGGGAACCUUGAAAGUAAAGACAAAUAAUUUUUUAUUUUUUUUUAAUGCAGUAGAGAAGCUGGGAGCCAGCAAGGGGAAAAACAAAAAGGCAAAUGGCAUGGAAAAUAAUCCUGGCAGGAAGCUUCAUAAUGAGCAAAUGGGGGAAGGUAAUUUGUAUCAAGCCCCCGAGCCCAGCAAUAGCUAAGACUGGAGGGUGAGAGCCUAAAACUCAUCCUUUUCCUCUCUCUGGUUUAGGGAUCUCAAAAGGAUAACUACCAGUUUUAAGAGCAGCUGGAGGAGCGAACACUUCAUUCUGAAGAUGACAGCCAGGUGGCAUGGAGUGCACUGAAGCAACCACCAGCAGUGCCUGGAAGAGCAGCACAGUGUUGGUGCGCGAAGGAGAGGUAUAGUCCUUCUUGACAUUGAGAUCCAGACAAGAUUUGCAGAUAUUGGACAAAACAGCAUUUGGUAUGCAAAGCAUUGAUGUAACCAGCUCCUGAGCUUGUUCUGUUUAACAAAUGGUCUGCUGGGAUUUUUUUGGAUCAGUUGACCUUGUUAGCACCUGAAUGCAAGAUAUUCAUAAAUUAGUAGUGAAGUUCCACCUGGAUUUACACCCAGAGUAUCCAUGACUUCCACAUAAUUCAUAUGAGAUGUCUUCCCAGGGCUGAGGUGUCACCACUGAGAAUUAAGCUUGCAAAGGACAAACCAAUUCUGAAAUGUACCUGUCCCUUUCUACUUCAGAAGGAAAGGAAUUGGAAUGGAGGAAGUGAUUUCCUUACACAUACUUCUAUAAAUCCUCAUGGGACACAGUAUGGGAGCCCUUCCAGGAUGUGACCUUUAGAUAUUGACGGAGGAGGUGGAUAUGCAUAUAUUCUCAUAUUGAUUCCACAGACCUAACCAGUGUUGUUCAGCUACAUUAAUGCUUUUUGAUUUGGAAGCACAAAUGGUGAGUUGCCUUCACUGCACUGCCUUGAUUGCACAUUGCAUUCACAAGGGAAAAAUGUCUUUAUGAAAAUUGGUCUCAUUAUUUUUAUGCUUCAUAGUUUCCAAUAAAACAAUUUUCACCAGAAAUGUGACUGUUGUA
Molecule: long non-coding RNA, 1107 nt
Filed under: Numida meleagris (helmeted guineafowl)
Lineage: Eukaryota; Metazoa; Chordata; Aves; Galliformes; Numididae
Description: lncRNA (ENSNMEG00000001236.1)
Source: RNAcentral